GACGAACCGUCCAAACGUUAUUCGGAAUUACUGGGCUUAAAGGGUGCGUAGGCGGCUCUGCAAGUUGGGUGUGAAAUCCCUCGGCUCAACCGAGGAAUGGCGCCCAAAACUGUGGAGCUCGAGGGAGACAGAGGUGAGUGGAACUUGUGGUGGAGCGGUGAAAUGCGUUGAUAUCACAAGGAACACCGGUGGCGAAAGCGGCUCACUGGGUCUCUUCUGACGCUGAGGCACGAAAGCUGGGGGAGCGAACGGGAUUAGAUACCCCCGUAGUCCCUGAG
This 278-nucleotide ribosomal RNA is filed under the name uncultured prokaryote. RNAcentral describes it as "partial 16S ribosomal RNA". It matches the Rfam family "Bacterial small subunit ribosomal RNA", at positions 524 to 801 of the family's 1533-position model. The record is from RNAcentral.